GACGAACGCUGGCGGCGUGCUUAACACAUGCAAGUCGUACGGUAAGGCCCUUUCGGGGGUACUCGAGUGGCGAACGGGUGAGUAACACUUGAGUAACCUGCACACAACUUUGGGAUAACGCUAGGAAACUGGUGCCAAUACUGGAUAUGUGUUCCUUCUGCAUGCUGGGGGUUGGAAAGCUCCGGCGGUUUUGGAUGUGCUCGCGGCCUAUCAGCUUGUUGGAGGGGCAAUGGCGUACCAAGGCGGCGGCGGGUGGCCGGCCUGAGAGGGUGACCGGCCACAUUGGGACUGAGAUACGGCCCAGACUCCUACGGGAGGCAGCAGUGGGGAAUAUUGCACAAUGGGCGCAAGCCUGAUGCAGCAGCGCCGCGGGCGGGAUGACGGCCUUCGGGUUGUAAACCGCUUUCAGCAGGGACGAAGCUUUUUGUGACGGUACCUGCAGAAGAAGCACCGGCUAACUACGUG
RNAcentral lists this ribosomal RNA (465 nucleotides) under uncultured bacterium. Its description in RNAcentral is "partial 16S ribosomal RNA". It matches the Rfam family "Bacterial small subunit ribosomal RNA", at positions 28 to 507 of the family's 1533-position model. The record is from RNAcentral.